RNAcentral lists this long non-coding RNA (219 nucleotides) under Elaeis guineensis (African oil palm). RNAcentral's name for it is "long non-coding RNA (EGUI_LNC066358)". Lineage: Eukaryota; Viridiplantae; Streptophyta; Magnoliopsida; Arecales; Arecaceae. The record is from RNAcentral.
AUACCAAUUCAAGUGACCAUCUAGCAAUGAUACCCGACGUCUGGAUAGGUCGAAAAAUUGCAAAGCAUCAUUCAAGAACCUAUUGGCAUAUAGUUAUCAUAUAAUUCAUCCUUUUGAUUCAAAUAUUCAAGGUGACCUAGGAUUUAACUGCCAAUCCUGAUAUAGUCAUCUAUAUUAUAUUUUAAUUUUUAAAAUCCAUCACAUAGAUUAUCCCGACCA